RNAcentral lists this ribosomal RNA (253 nucleotides) under uncultured bacterium. RNAcentral's name for it is "partial 16S ribosomal RNA". It matches the Rfam family "Bacterial small subunit ribosomal RNA", at positions 524 to 776 of the family's 1533-position model. The record is from RNAcentral.
UACAGAGGUCCCGAGCGUUGUUCGGAUUCAUUGGGCGUAAAGGGUGCGUAGGCGGCGGGGCAAGUCUGAUGUGAAAUCCCGGGGCUCAACCCCGGAACUGCAUUGGAUACUGCCUUGCUUGAGUACUGGAGAGGGAACUGGAAUUUACGGUGUAGCAGUGAAAUGCGUAGAGAUCGUAAGGAAGGCCAGUGGCGAAGGCGAGUUCCUGGACAGUUACUGACGCUGAGGCACGAAAGCCAGGGGAGCAAACGGG